Molecule: long non-coding RNA, 303 nt
Filed under: Struthio camelus australis
Lineage: Eukaryota; Metazoa; Chordata; Aves; Struthioniformes; Struthionidae
Description: lncRNA (ENSSCUG00000016667.1)
Source: RNAcentral
UAAACAGAAAGAUCGAAGACAGCACAGCUGUCUUUUUUGUUGACUCAAUAGUCUACUUGGUUUCAGGACUAGGGUUCUUAGUAUGUUAAGAAGAUAUUUAGCUCCUCAGAGUUGAAUUCAGUUCCCUCAACACAGGCAUCUGUUGACAUUUGACAAGCCCUUGGGUAUCAGACCGGACUCACAGCUGCUUCUCCAGAAGGGCAGGAGGCAUGGAUAACAGCCUUGAAGAGGCCUUGACCAGAAAGUUUGAGAACUGAACUGCAGAGUCCCUUCAGCAUAUUCAUACUACCCAUCUGUCUGGAU